RNAcentral lists this ribosomal RNA (253 nucleotides) under uncultured bacterium. RNAcentral describes it as "partial 16S ribosomal RNA". It matches the Rfam family "Bacterial small subunit ribosomal RNA", at positions 524 to 776 of the family's 1533-position model. The record is from RNAcentral.
UACGAAGGGGGCUAGCGUUGUUCGGAGUUACUGGGCGUAAAGGGCGCGUAGGCGGCCCUCCAAGUCGGGCGUGAAAGCCCACGGCUCAACCGUGGAAUUGCGCUCGAGACUGAAGGGCUCGAGGACGGGAGAGGAUGGUGGAAUUCCCAGUGUAGAGGUGAAAUUCGUAGAUAUUGGGAGGAACACCAGUGGCGAAGGCGGCUCACUGGACCGGUACUGACGCUGAGGCGCGAAAGCGUGGGGAGCAAACAGG